UCUACUGGUGUCAACAAAGUCAUGCUUGUUGUACUAAUUGGUAAUUUGCACCAACACAUUAGUGGUAAGGUACUGUAUUGGCACAACAGGAUCAUUUAUAAAAAGGCAGGAAAAUAAACUGUAGCUACUCAUUUACACUUAGGCUGUAGCAUCUUAGAAAGACACUAGUGAAGGUAUAGCUAUGACAACGAGGCAAUAGGUAGACUGGCUGGAUCAUGUGUCAGUGAGGGAUACGUACCCACACAGCUGCUGGAAUACUCAGUGAGAGACUGUCAAAGGUAUCAUACCUCACAGGACUCUGCAAGAAAAUAUUUCACAUAUCCAGUGAGCUAAAAUUUAUGAUGGUCAAAAAAAAACCCCCAAACCAGCCUCACACAAGAUGAACACAUGCCCUCUGCUGUCCACAAUUACCUGGUGGAAUAGGGUCAAAACCACCCGCCUUCCCAACCACAGUGCUAAGGAAGACUAGGUAUACAAGGUGCUACUUAGCCCCUUUCUGCUGAAGCUGCCCUACUCACUUAAAUUUGUUUGCAAGGUUUUGAAAAGUAAAAGUACCAAACGUACUCCUGCAGUUUGAUCUACAAAUGAGAUUUACUUACUUUACUGUUUUCUUUAUCCAGGUUAUCUUCAUCUCCUUACUCUGGAUAACGGGACUGCAACUUAAUUUGGCUUUGCAUGUGCAAUCCCAAUACUGUGUGCUGAAUGAAUAGCUUGUCCUAAAACGCUACCCAUGAAUCUAGGCAGACUACAGAAACUUUUGAUAAUGAAGUAACAUUGGUAAAGAAGUCACCUCCAGCGAAUGCACGUCGAACAAAUGUGUCACACGUGGCUGACGAUCCCGUUCAUCUUCUAAUGAAGAGGUAAGGACGUGAAAUAGUUCAUGAGCAUCCUAUUAAAUAGAGGAAUAAGACUUAGAGGAAGCGAAAACAACAGACAUCAAAACAUACACCAGGAGUACUGAUAGACAUAUGACUACAUCAUUGUAGUGGGAAAUGAAAGGAAAAAUUACUGCUUAGAGCCCACCUUGUGUAUUAAGAGUAAUCAUUUGUGCAUCUGUUGCAGUUUUGCCAAAAAGCUUUUUCUAUAAAGCUGAACUUGAUAACAGUGCAUAUUAUGAAAAAAAUUCUGCGCCAUACAAACUCAAAAGAUACUAAAAUACUUGGAGAAAAAAAGAAAAAUGAGUGCACAAAGGCCUGCUUUCCAUGAUUUCAAUAAAAGCAUAAUUGAAA
This is a long non-coding RNA of Harpia harpyja (harpy eagle), 1229 nucleotides long. RefSeq lists it as uncharacterized. The record is from RefSeq and is a predicted model, not a curated record. The transcript has 2 exons. Lineage: Eukaryota; Metazoa; Chordata; Aves; Accipitriformes; Accipitridae.